Molecule: transfer RNA, 76 nt
Filed under: Christensenellaceae bacterium OttesenSCG-928-L17
Lineage: Bacteria; Bacillati; Bacillota; Clostridia; Christensenellales; Christensenellaceae
Description: tRNA-Ala
Rfam family: tRNA
About the family: Transfer RNA (tRNA) molecules are approximately 80 nucleotides in length. Their secondary structure includes four short double-helical elements and three loops (D, anti-codon, and T loops).
Source: RNAcentral
GGGGCUUUAGCGCAGUUGGUAGCGCGCUUGAAUGGCAUUCAAGAGGUCAGGGGUUCGACUCCCCUAAGCUCCACCA